This 499-nucleotide ribosomal RNA is filed under the name uncultured Glomeromycotina. RNAcentral describes it as "partial small subunit ribosomal RNA". It matches the Rfam family "Eukaryotic small subunit ribosomal RNA", at positions 591 to 1092 of the family's 1831-position model. The record is from RNAcentral. Lineage: Eukaryota; Fungi; Glomeromycota.
CCAAUAGCGUAUAUUAAAGUUGUUGCAGUUAAAAAGCUCGUAGUUGAAUUUCGGGAUCAAAUUGUCGGUCGUGCCUCGGUACGAACUGGUAUUAUUGGUUCCUACCUUCUGAAGAACCGCGAUGUCAUUAAUUUGGUGUCGUGGGGAAUCAGGACUGUUACUUUGAAAAAAUUAGAGUGUUUAAAGCAGGCUUACGCUUGAAUACAUUAGCAUGGAAUAAUGAAAUAGGACGUUUGAUUCUAUUUUGUUGGUUUCUAGGAUUGACGUAAUGAUUAAUAGGGAUAGUUGGGGGCAUUAGUAUUCAAUUGUCAGAGGUGAAAUUCUUGGAUUUAUUGAAGACUAACUACUGCGAAAGCAUUUGCCAAGGAUGUUUUCAUUAAUCAAGAACGAAAGUUAGGGGAUCGAAGACGAUCAGAUACCGUCGUAGUCUUAACCAUAAACUAUGCCGACUAGGGAUCGGAUGAUGUUAAUUUUUUAAUGACUCAUUCGGCGCCUUACA